RNAcentral lists this ribosomal RNA (328 nucleotides) under uncultured eukaryote. RNAcentral describes it as "partial 18S ribosomal RNA". It matches the Rfam family "Eukaryotic small subunit ribosomal RNA", at positions 1470 to 1796 of the family's 1831-position model. The record is from RNAcentral.
CCCUUAGAUGUCCUGGGCCGCACGCGCGUUACACUGAUGCAUUCAACGAGCUUAUAACCUUGGCCGAGAGGCCUGGGCAAUCUUGUUAACGUGCAUCGUGAUAGGGAUAGAUUAUUGAAAUUAUUAAUCUUGAACGAGGAAUUCCUAGUAAACGCAGAUCAUCAAUCUGCAUUGAUUACGUCCCUGCCCUUUGUACACACCGCCCGUCGCUACUACCGAUUGAAUGGCUUAGUGAGCCUUUGGGAUUGGCAGCCAACACCGGCAACGGUAGCUGGCCGCCGAAAACUUAUGCAAACUUGGUCAUUUAGAGGAAGUAAAAGUCGUAACA